AUUCCGGAGAGGGAGCCUGAGAAACGGCUACCACAUCUAAGGAAGGCAGCAGGCGCGUAAAUUACCCACUCCCAGUUCGGGGAGGUAGUGACGAAAAAUAACAAUACAGGACUCAUAUCCGAGGCCCUGUAAUUGGAAUGAGUACACUUUAAAUCCGUUAACAAGGACCUAUUGGAGGGCAAGUCUGGUGCCAGCAGCUGCGGUAAUUCCAGCUCCAAUAGCAUAUAUUAAAGUUGUUGCGGUUAAAACGUUCGUAGUUGAAUUUGUGCUUCAUACGGGUAGUACAACUACAAUUGUGGAUUGUACAUUACCUUAUGUAUGUAAGCGUAUUACCGGUGGAGUUCUAAUAUAUUAAUAAUAUGUCAUGUAUUGUUAUAUAUACCUCCUAUUUAAACCUGCUUCGGUGCUCUUUACCGAGUGCUGUUGUGGGCCGGUACUAUUACUUUGAACAAAUUAGAGUGCUUAAAGCAGGCUCCAAAUGCCUGAAUAUUUUGUGCAUGGAAUAAUGAAAUAAGACUUCUGAUCUACUUUCAUUGGUUUUUAGAUCAAGAGGUAAUGAUAAAUAGAAGCAGUUUGGGGGCAUUAGUAUUACGACGCGAGAGGUGAAAUUCUUGGACCGUCGUAAGACUAACUUAAGCGAAAGCAUUUGCCAAAGAUGUUUUCAUUAAUCAAGAACGAAAGUUAGAGGUUCGAAGGCGA
This 699-nucleotide ribosomal RNA is filed under the name Philhelius flavipes. Its description in RNAcentral is "SSU rRNA". It matches the Rfam family "Eukaryotic small subunit ribosomal RNA", at positions 380 to 1007 of the family's 1831-position model. The record is from RNAcentral. Lineage: Eukaryota; Metazoa; Arthropoda; Insecta; Diptera; Syrphidae.